Long non-coding RNA from Varroa destructor (honeybee mite), 921 nucleotides. RefSeq lists it as uncharacterized. Lineage: Eukaryota; Metazoa; Arthropoda; Arachnida; Mesostigmata; Varroidae. The record is from RefSeq and is a predicted model, not a curated record.
CUAUAGGGCACGAUCUAUAGCCGUUUGGGAGACUCGUAAGGUCGUGAUAGGUAGCGUUUAGGCAAAGAUGAAAGAGAUAUAUGUGGUUUGAAUGGGUGUCGUCGGAAGCACCUAGCGGAAGAGCAAGUUCAUCCACCAACGCACGCAUUGGCUAGCUAUUUGGACAAAAAUAAUGAAAUGUGGUGCAUCAUACUGUCAUUUUUUGAAGAAGGUUAAUUCCUGAAUGCUUGACAGCUGCAAGUGACCUCCCGCCGUGCGACUCGAACCCGUUUCUUCUGGCUGCUGGGUGAAAGGAUGGAAAAAUCAAUUAAAAACUGUAGCAAGUUUAUGUAUGUAGCCUGCUGAUCUACAAGAUGGCGCAGUCUCAUCAAAUAUUUCUCACCGGCUGCAGUGCAAAGUUUUACGCAACUUGAAUACAAAAUAGGCUGUGUUCAACGUCUUUCAGCUGAACUCUACUCACAUACCAUGGCUAUCACGUAUCGUGGAGGUCGGACAACUCACCGGAUUAUACUCCGGUAAAAGUAUAUCUGGCUUGGCUUAUGGGCAAAACCGGCAUAGACUUUUUCGAUCUGAAAACGGAUAAAAUAUAAUAUCCGAUCAAAUGCAGGAUAGCCUCAGAGGAGCGCUGUCGUUGUCUGAAAAGGGUUUGUUUGUUAUCUUCUGGCAAAUUGUCAAUCUAUACAUGUGUAUUGGUCUUCAGUUGUUCAGAUCUGCAGAUUUAAAAUGUCAAAUUUUCUCUAUAAUAAUAAUAAUAAUAAUAGGUGGUCAAUUCAGCGUGAAACGAAAGCGAAGAAGGUAAAAGUUGUAUGAUCUGCUAAACGUUUUAGCACGAUUGUGGAUGACGGCGAUACUUUUAACCUAGAUAUUCAGAGAGCUGUUUCCAUAGAAGAAUAAACUUAAAAGAGUUACGUUCGGUGAGCC